UACGUAGGGGGCAAGCGUUAUCCGGAUUUACUGGGUGUAAAGGGAGCGCAGACGGCAGUGCAAGUCUGGAGUGAAAGCCCGGGGCUCAACCCCGGGACUGCAUUUGGAACUGUGCUGCUAGAGUGUCGGAGAGGCAGGCGGAAUUCCUAGUGUAGCGGUGAAAUGCGUAGAUAUUAGGAGGAACACCAGUGGCGGAGGCGGCUUACUGGACGGUAACUGACGCUGAGGCUCGAAAGCGUGGGGAUCAAACAGG
RNAcentral lists this ribosomal RNA (253 nucleotides) under uncultured Lachnospiraceae bacterium. Its description in RNAcentral is "partial 16S ribosomal RNA". It matches the Rfam family "Bacterial small subunit ribosomal RNA", at positions 524 to 776 of the family's 1533-position model. Lineage: Bacteria; Bacillati; Bacillota; Clostridia; Lachnospirales; Lachnospiraceae. The record is from RNAcentral.